Molecule: long non-coding RNA, 244 nt
Filed under: Homo sapiens (human)
Lineage: Eukaryota; Metazoa; Chordata; Mammalia; Primates; Hominidae
Description: HSALNT0136526
Source: RNAcentral
CUCUAAUCUCGCAUUUGAAAGGGUGGUCCUAGAAUUUCAUAGGAAACUUUGAGUUUAUAUUCAGACUGAAAAACAUAAUUGCACUUUAGCAAGGAAGCCGUGGGUAUGGUUUAGAUGAGGAAGAUAAUUUCCUGUCGAGCAAACUUAGAAGUUGUGUGUGCUAAUUGCAAAACUACUGGCCACUUGAAGAAACAGAAGCAACAAUCCCCCAAAUAACCGAGUCGCUCAAAAAAGAAGGAAUAAA